UUGUAGGCUGAAACUCGCCUACAUGAAGCUGGAGUUACUAGUAAUCGCAGAUCAGAAUGCUGCGGUGAAUGCGUUCCCGGGUCUUGUACACACCGCCCGUCACACCACGGGAGUUGGAGACGCCCGAAGCCGAUUAUCUAACCUUUUGGAAGAAGUCGUCGAAGGUGGAAUCAAUAACUGGGGUGAAGUCGUAACAAGGUAGCCG
RNAcentral lists this ribosomal RNA (205 nucleotides) under Clostridioides difficile. Its description in RNAcentral is "partial 16S ribosomal RNA". It matches the Rfam family "Bacterial small subunit ribosomal RNA", at positions 1298 to 1502 of the family's 1533-position model. The record is from RNAcentral. Lineage: Bacteria; Bacillati; Bacillota; Clostridia; Peptostreptococcales; Peptostreptococcaceae.